UGUAGCCCAGGCUAGCCUCG
This 20-nucleotide non-coding RNA is filed under the name Mus musculus (house mouse). The record is from RNAcentral. Lineage: Eukaryota; Metazoa; Chordata; Mammalia; Rodentia; Muridae.